This 237-nucleotide ribosomal RNA is filed under the name uncultured bacterium. RNAcentral's name for it is "partial 16S ribosomal RNA". It matches the Rfam family "Bacterial small subunit ribosomal RNA", at positions 15 to 235 of the family's 1533-position model. The record is from RNAcentral.
GAUCCUGGCUCGGGACGAACGCUGGCGGCGUGCUUAACACAUGCAAGUCGAACGAGAAUCUGCGGAAAGAGGAUUCGUCCAAUUGAAGCAGAGGACAGUGGCGGACGGGUGAGUAACGCGUGAGGAACCUGCCUUUCAGAGGGGGACAACAGUUGGAAACGACUGCUAAUACCGCAUGACACAUUGGGGUCGCAUGGCCCCGAUGUCAAAGAUUUAUCGCUGAAAGAUGGCCUCGCG